AGCUUGGAGGGUUUGAUCCUGGCUCAGGGUGAACGCUGGCGGCGUGCCUAACACAUGCAAGUCGAGCGGUGUAGCUGGAGGCUUCGGCCGAAGGCUGCACAGCGGCGGACGGGUGCGUAACGCGUAGGAACGUGCCCCUCGGAGGCGGAUAGCCGCGGGAAACUGCGGGUAAACCGCCAUACGCUCGGGAGAGGAAAGGCCGGAAGGCGCCGAGGGAGCGGCCUGCGUCCCAUCAGGUAGUUGGUGGGGUAAUGGCCCACCAAGCCGACGACGGGUAGCCGGUCUGAGAGGAUGGCCGGCCACAAGGGCACUGAGACACGGGCCCUACUCCUACGGGAGGCAGCAGUGGGGGAUUUUGGACAAUGGGCGAAAGCCUGAUCCAGCGACGCCGCGUGGAGGAAGAAGCCCUUCGGGGUGUAAACUCCUUUUGUCGGGGAAAAAGGUCUGAUGGUACCCGACGAAUAAGCCCCGGCUAACUACGUGCCAGCAGCCGCGGUAAUACGUAGGGGGCGAGCGUUACCCGGAAUUACUGGGCGUAAAGGGUGCGUAGGCGGCCCCGUGUGUCCGGUGUGAAAGGCCACGGCUCAACCGUGGAUAUGCGCUGGAAACUGCGGGGCUUGGGUGCGGCAGAGGCAGACGGAACUGCUGGUGUAGGGGUGAAAUCCGUAGAUAUCAGCAGGAACGCCGGUGGAGAAGUCGGUCUGCUGGGCCGUAACCGACGCUGAGGCACGAAAGCUAGGGGAGCGAACCGGAUUAGAUACCCGGGUAGUCCUAGCCGUAAACGAUGCUCACUAGGUGUGGGGCGAAGAGCUCCGUGCUGAAGCUAACGCGUUAAGUGAGCCGCCUGGGGAGUAUGCCCGCAAGGGUGAAACUCAAAGGAAUUGACGGGGGCCCGCACAAGCGGUGGAGCGUGUGGUUUAAUUGGAAGCUAAGCCAAGAACCUUACCAGGGCUUGACAUGCUGGUGGUACCGAGCCGAAAGGUGAGGGACCCUAUCGUAAGGUAGGGAGCCAGCACAGGUGGUGCACGGUCGUCGUCAGCUCGUGCCGUGAGGUGUUGGGUUAAGUCCCGCAACGAGCGCAACCCCUGCCCUUAGUUGCCAG
RNAcentral lists this ribosomal RNA (1102 nucleotides) under Fervidobacterium thailandense. RNAcentral's name for it is "bacterial SSU rRNA". It matches the Rfam family "Bacterial small subunit ribosomal RNA", at positions 1 to 1121 of the family's 1533-position model. The record is from RNAcentral. Lineage: Bacteria; Thermotogati; Thermotogota; Thermotogae; Thermotogales; Fervidobacteriaceae.